GUUCUGCGUGAAGCGGGUCAGGGGAGGAAUCCAGCAGCCCUAAGCGAUUUGAAUUGUGUGCUCUUUUUUCGUGCACUUU
Molecule: signal recognition particle RNA, 79 nt
Filed under: Streptococcus pneumoniae
Lineage: Bacteria; Bacillati; Bacillota; Bacilli; Lactobacillales; Streptococcaceae
Description: partial signal recognition particle sRNA small type
Rfam family: Bacterial small signal recognition particle RNA
About the family: The signal recognition particle (SRP) is a universally conserved ribonucleoprotein involved in the co-translational targeting of proteins to membranes. Archaeal SRP consists of a 7S RNA and homologues of the eukaryotic SRP19 and SRP54 proteins.
Source: RNAcentral